This 88-nucleotide microRNA precursor is filed under the name Pediculus humanus corporis (human body louse). Its description in RNAcentral is "microRNA mir-598". Lineage: Eukaryota; Metazoa; Arthropoda; Insecta; Psocodea; Pediculidae. The record is from RNAcentral.
UAUAAAUGAUGAUGAUGAUGAUGAUGGUGAGCACAAAGGAUGAAGAACGAUCACCGUACUUUAGUCAUCAUCAUCAUCAUCAACUAUU